UCGCGGAUUAGAGAGAUCUUUUCCUUCAGUUCGGCUGGAUCGGUGACAGGUGCUGCAUGGCUGUCGUCAGCUCGUGUCGUGAGAUGUUGGGUUAAGUCCCGCAACGAGCGCAACCCUCGUCCUUAGUUGCCAUCAUUUAGUUGGGCACUUUAAGGAAACUGCCGGUGAUAAGCCGGAGGAAGGUGGGGAUGACGUCAAGUCCUCAUGGCCCUUACAGGCUGGGCUACACACGUGCUACAAUGGCGAUGACAGUGGGCAGCAAACUCGCAAGGGUGAGCUAAUCUCCAAAAGUCGUCUCAGUUCGGAUUGCACUCUGCAACUCGAGUGCAUGAAGGCGGAAUCGCUAGUAAUCGCGGAUCAGCAUGCCGCGGUGAAUACGUUCCCAGGCCUU
This 391-nucleotide ribosomal RNA is filed under the name uncultured Erythrobacteraceae bacterium. RNAcentral's name for it is "bacterial SSU rRNA". It matches the Rfam family "Bacterial small subunit ribosomal RNA", at positions 989 to 1382 of the family's 1533-position model. The record is from RNAcentral. Lineage: Bacteria; Pseudomonadati; Pseudomonadota; Alphaproteobacteria; Sphingomonadales; Erythrobacteraceae.